UUGGAGGGCAAGUCUGGUGCCAGCAGCCGCGGUAAUUCCAGCUCCAAUAGCGUAUAUUAAAGUUGUUGCAGUUAAAAAGCUCGUAGUUGAAUUUCGGGAUCAGUACGCUGGUCGUGCCUUCGGUAGUAUGCACUGGUGUCACUGAUUCCUUCCUUCUGAAGAACCGUAAUGCCAUUCAGUUGGUGUGGCGGGGAAUUAGGAUUGUUACUUUGAAAAAAUUAGAGUGUUUAAAGCAGGCUCGCGCUUGAAUACAUUAGCAUGGAAUAAUGAAAUAGGACGUUUGAUCCUAUUUUGUUGGUUUCUAGGAUCGACGUAAUGAUUAAUAGGGAUAGUUGGG
This 337-nucleotide ribosomal RNA is filed under the name Glomus sp. Its description in RNAcentral is "bacterial SSU rRNA". It matches the Rfam family "Eukaryotic small subunit ribosomal RNA", at positions 548 to 886 of the family's 1831-position model. Lineage: Eukaryota; Fungi; Glomeromycota; Glomeromycetes; Glomerales; Glomeraceae. The record is from RNAcentral.